This 1288-nucleotide ribosomal RNA is filed under the name Clinterocera nigra. Its description in RNAcentral is "16S ribosomal RNA". The record is from RNAcentral. Lineage: Eukaryota; Metazoa; Arthropoda; Insecta; Coleoptera; Scarabaeidae.
AAUAAUAAUCAACUUAUAAUAAAUUUUAUAAAUACUAGGUCCUUUCGUACUAAAGUAUUUUUUUUAUUUAAAGAUAGAAACCAACCUGGCUCACGCCGGUUUAAACUCAGAUCAUGUAAAAUAUUAAAGGUCGAACAGACCUAACCUUUUAGCCCCUACACCAAAAGUUAAUUUUAAUCCAACAUCGAGGUCGCAAACUCUUUUUUCGAUAUGAACUCUCAAAAAAAAUUACGCUGUUAUCCCUAAGGUAAUUUAAUCUUGUAAUCGUAAUAUACGGAUCAAUUAUUCAUAAAUCAAUGGUUAUAAUAAAAAAAAGUUAAUCAAAUUUUUCUGUCGCCCCAACAAAAUACUUGAUUAAAUACAAACUUUAAAAAUACUAAAUUAUUUGAACUAAACCAAAUAUAAAACUCUAUAGGGUCUUCUCGUCUUUUAAAAUUAUUUAAGCUUUCUUACUUAAAGAUAAAGUUCUAAUUUAAAUUAAACUGAGACAGUUAUUUUCUCGUCCGACCAUUCAUUCCAGCUUUCAAUUAAAAAACUAAUGAUUAUGCUACCUUUGCACGGUCAAAAUACCGCGGCCAUUCAACUCCUCAUUGGGCAGGCCAGACUUUAAAUUAUACUCAAAAAGACAUGUUUUUAAUAAACAGGCGGAAAAUAGAUUUGCCGAGUUCCUUAGUUCAACCUUAAUCAAACAAUUUAUUAACACAAUAAAUUAUACUAAUUAUACCAUUAUUACACAUAUUACCCAAUUAAAUAAAUCAUUCUAAUAAAAAACUUAAACAACAAUAAAAAUCUUAUUCAAUUUGAAAAUUAAUUAUAACAAACUAAAGAUAAAAAUUUCCAAUCCUACAAUUAUUCAAUUUAAUAAAAAUAGUUAUAAAAAUUUACUUUAAAGCUUAUCCCUUAAAGUAUUACUUUACAAUAAUAUUUAAUUAAACAAUUAAUUAAAUACCUUUCGUAAACUAAAUUAAAUUUAUUUCUUAGAAAACUAGAUAUCUUAAAAAACGAAUAACGUUUCAUUUCUAACAUUAUAUUUUAAAGAGUUAUUCCACAAUCAAAUGUAUACAAUGUUAGCUCUUUUUAAUUCGAGAACUCUAACUAAUCAGAUAUUUUUAAUAAACCCUGAUACCCAAGGUACAAAAAAUCAAUUAUUCUUUUACACAAUUUAUUAUUCUCUAUAUUUCAAUAUCCUAUCACUAUACAAUUCUCUAUAAUAAAAAUACUGUACUCUAAAAAAUACUAACUAUAAAAAUACUUUUUUUAAUAAACAUAUAAGUAUAAAUCUUAAUAU